CAAGUCGAACGAAUCCCGUGGGGGUAACUCUGCGGGGGAAGUGGCGAAAGGGGCAGUAAAGCGUGGGUAACCUACCCCGGGGAUCGGGAUAGCCGUCCUAACGGACGGGUAAUACCGGGCGAUCUGGCGUGGAGGCAUCUUCGUGCCAGGAGAUGAAUUUCGCCUCGGGAGGGGCUCACGUAGUAUUAGCUUGUUGGUGGGGUAACGGCCCACCAAGGCCAAGAUGCUUAGCGGGUGUGAGAGCACGACCCGCGCCACUGGCACUGAGACACUGGCCAGACUCCUACGGGAGGCUGCAGUCGAGGAUCUUCGGCAAUGGGCGCAAGCCUGACCGAGCGACGCCGCGUGUGCGAUGAAGGCCUUCGGGUUGUAAAGCACUGUCGAGGGGGAGAAAAGCCCGCAAGGGUCUGAUCUAUCCCUGGAGGAAGCACGGGCUAAGUUCGUGCCAGCAGCCGCGGUAAGACGAACCGUGCGAACGUUGUUCGGAUUCACUGGGCUUAAAGGGCGCGUAGGCGGGUUAUCAAGUCGGGGGUGAAAUCUUUCAGCUCAACUGGAAAAGUGCCUUCGAUACUGAUGAUCUUGAGGGAGGUAGGGGCAUGUGGAACUUCCGGUGGAGCGGUGAAAUGCGUAGAUAUCGAAAGGAACGCCGGUGGCGAAAGCGACGUGCUGGACCUCUUCUGACGCUGAGGCGCGAAAGCCAGGGGAGCGAACGGGAUUAGAUACCCCGGUAGUCCUGGCCCUAAACGAUGGGUACUAGGUUGUGGACUUGACAUGGGUUCACAGCCGAAGCCAAAGUGUUAAGUACCCCGCCUGGGGAGUAUGGUCGCAAGGCUGAAACUCAAAGGA
This 846-nucleotide ribosomal RNA is filed under the name uncultured Planctomycetota bacterium. RNAcentral describes it as "bacterial SSU rRNA". It matches the Rfam family "Bacterial small subunit ribosomal RNA", at positions 58 to 908 of the family's 1533-position model. Lineage: Bacteria; Pseudomonadati; Planctomycetota. The record is from RNAcentral.